RNAcentral lists this ribosomal RNA (253 nucleotides) under uncultured bacterium. Its description in RNAcentral is "partial 16S ribosomal RNA". It matches the Rfam family "Bacterial small subunit ribosomal RNA", at positions 524 to 776 of the family's 1533-position model. The record is from RNAcentral.
UACAGAGGGGGCAAGCGUUGUUCGGAAUUACUGGGCGUAAAGGGCGCGUAGGCGGCCUGUUAAGUCGAACGUGAAAUCCCCGGGCUCAACCCGGGAACUGCGUCCGAUACUGGCAGGCUUGAAUUCGGGAGAGGGAUGCGGAAUUCCAGGUGUAGCGGUGAAAUGCGUAGAUAUCUGGAGGAACACCGGUGGCGAAGGCGACAUCCUGGACCGGUAUUGACGCUGAGGCGCGAAAGCCAGGGGAGCAAACGGG